RNAcentral lists this transfer RNA (87 nucleotides) under Lachnospiraceae bacterium. RNAcentral's name for it is "tRNA-Ser". It matches the Rfam family "tRNA". From Rfam's summary of the family: Transfer RNA (tRNA) molecules are approximately 80 nucleotides in length. Their secondary structure includes four short double-helical elements and three loops (D, anti-codon, and T loops). Further hydrogen bonds mediate the characteristic L-shaped molecular structure. tRNAs have two regions of fundamental functional importance: the anti-codon, which is responsible for specific mRNA codon recognition, and the 3' end, to which the tRNAs corresponding amino acid is attached (by aminoacyl-tRNA synthetases). tRNAs cope with the degeneracy of the genetic code in two manners: having more than one tRNA (with a specific anti-codon) for a particular amino acid; and 'wobble' base-pairing, i.e. permitting non-standard base-pairing at the 3rd anti-codon position. RNAcentral also lists the same sequence under 1 other name. Lineage: Bacteria; Bacillati; Bacillota; Clostridia; Lachnospirales; Lachnospiraceae. The record is from RNAcentral.
GGAGACGUAUCGAAGUGGCCGUAACGAGACUGAUUCGAAAUCAGUUGAACCUUUCUGGUUCCGUGGGUUCGAAUCCCACCGUCUCCG